UAGGGAAUCUUCCACAAUGGACGCAAGUCUGAUGGAGCAACGCCGCGUGAGUGAAGAAGGUUUUCGGAUCGUAAAGCUCUGUUGUUGGUGAAGAAGGAUAGAGGUAGUAACUGGCCUUUAUUUGACGGUAAUCAACCAGAAAGUCACGGCUAACUACGUGCCAGCAGCCGCGGUAAUACGUAGGUGGCAAGCGUUGUCCGGAUUUAUUGGGCGUAGAGCGAGCGCAGGCGGAAGAAUAAGUCUGAUGUGAAAGCCCUCGGCUUAACCGAGGAACUGCAUCGGAAACUGUUUUUCUUGAGUGCAGAAGAGGAGAGUGGAAUUCCAUGUGUAGCGGUGGAAUGCGUAGAUAUAUGGAAGAACACCAGUGGCGAAGGCGACUCUCUGGUCUGCAACUGACGCUGAGGCUCGAAAGCAUGGGUAGCGAACAGG
This 429-nucleotide ribosomal RNA is filed under the name bacterium. RNAcentral's name for it is "partial 16S ribosomal RNA". It matches the Rfam family "Bacterial small subunit ribosomal RNA", at positions 355 to 776 of the family's 1533-position model. The record is from RNAcentral.